GCAAAUCUGUUUGGUUUAUUUAUUCUAUUUGUGGUCAAAACACGGUGGACCGGACGGCCACUUCCUCCCCAUCUCUUCUCCAGACUUCAAACCGAAACAUCAUAUAAAGAAGGAGAAGAAGAAGGAGACACAGACCCCAAGAGAAACGAGAAGAAACGAAAAGAAAAGAAAAAAAAGACCAAACGUAGAAUACCCAUCAAGCUCCUUUUGAUCCAAUCGAAUUUUGCCUCAUCUGUAAGUUUCCCACAUCUUUUCAUUUCCCUGCAGAUCUGAGCUACUGCUUUUAUAUGGGUUGUGUUUUGUUUUUUAAUUUUUUCCCUUUUUGUUUCUUUGUAUUUGUUGUUUUUAUGGAUAUGGGUUUUACGAGAAUGACAUUAUUUGGAUUGUUUUGGGUUAUAAAUGUGAAAUGGGGUUUUUCAUGUGAGAUAUUAGAAUUGUAUCAUCAGGAAACGUGAAAGGGAAAGGAGAUCUGGAUUAGGUCCUAUGAGAAAAGCUUAGGUAGAAGGUCAGUUCUUGAUUUGGAUUGAACCCAUUUGAGAAGGAUAGCUGAAUUAUUGAUAAUCUACUGAAAAAAGAGAAAGAAAUGAUAAAUGCCCCCAUGGUUAUAGCUUUUAAAUUCUUUUUCUAACGCCUUCAGAGCACUGAUAAUGCUGCACCUUCUAUGUUUUGCCGUACGAUCUGCUGGGAUCUCACAGAACACAGUAAAUUGGCUAAUUUUAUCUGAAUUGAUGUCAAGAAAAGUGUGAUGUGUGUAGUUUGAUGGCGACAAUGAGCUUUAUUGGAUGGUGCUGGUAUGAAUAUAUUUUGUUUAUUUUUAACUUUUUGUCUAGGCAUUGUAUAUUUUUCACGGAUUUGAGUUCUAAUUUUAUACUGGGAUGAAUUUGCCUUUUUUCAUUAUAUUGUUUUCCUCAUAAUGUAUAUUAUUGAUAUAGUUAUAAUGUUAAUCAUGAUGGAACUAAAAACUAGUAAAUUAAGAAUGAUAAGCAGGUUGUGUAGUGAUGAAGGGCUGGUGAUUUGUGGAUUUGAUUUCGUAUGAAAUCCUUCAAAAAUAUAUACAUAUAUAUAUAUAUAUAUAUAAUUUUUUUUUAAAUGACCUUUAAAAUAUAUAUGAUUGACUACUUUUUUCUUGUGUCGUAUACAUCAUCAGUGGUUGAUACCUUCCUAGUCCUGUUUGAGUUGACCGUGCACGUUCAUUUGUGUGUAGUAAUAAUUGUUUAUCAGAUAUAUUCUUACUGAGUAUACUUGGGGAUUUGAAGUGGGGUUACUGGGCUUUCUUAUUGAGUUUAACUUAUCAACAUUGGAUUGGAUUAUAAUAAUAAUAAUAAUUUUCUGAUUUGAAACAUAAUUUCUUUAAUUAAAAAAAGAAAAAGAAAAACUACAGUACAGCCAGCCAAUGUGCAACAAAGAGACAUUAGCUUAUCUUGUUUACUCAAUAAGCUAAACAUUAGGUAAUCACUUUUAGAGCCUUGCUUGAAAGCAGGCUUACUUGGUAGUUGGGUUAGUAUUCACUUAGAAGGAGACAAAUAGGCUUGAUUUUGUGGUAACUAAAUAGACUGAGGAGCUGCUUUGACAAUUAUAAUGAAUUGAACUCACUUGUAUGUUGCAAACAAACCUUAAGAAAUUUCAACUAUAGUUGGAGAAAAUUUCCGAAGAGUAUUUGAUUCUCAUGGUAAGACUACAUACGCUUUUAAAAAUUGCUUCAAUUUUGGUUAGGCAAUGGGGUAAACUAUUUUUUUUUAUGCUCCUUCCUGCAAUUCCAUCUGAUUUUACUACAUACAGUGUUGCAUCUUCAUGUUUCAGAAGUUUAUUAUAGUUAAGGUGCCUAUGAACAGUAGAAUAUAAUACUCAUGUAACUAGCCAUUAUUUCAAGUUAAUAUUCUUUCAGACAUUGUGAUCACAGAACUUGGUUCUUCUUUUUGGUAGGGUUUAGUUUGGGUUUUAGUUCUAAAUCUAUUUUCAUGCUGAGCUAAACGUUUAGCUCUUGCAAAUAUUAAGAUGCCAAGCUUCCAUCCAUCUGUAAAGUUUUGAACUUUUAUGGAAAUGCUAGGAGAAUAGGUCAUUCUUGUGCAUGGGUGCUUUUAUCUUCUUGCAUUGGACCUUGUCAGGUCUUAAUUUCUUAUUUUGGUAGAUGUAUGUGUGCUGUAUUGUUCACAUUUCUGGUGUACAUAAUCAAAUUGGCAUUGCCCUUCCUGAUCUAUUGCAUUAUUCUUAGUCAAGAAGAGCAUAUUAAAAGCUAUUAUGAAUGUAUUCCGUGGGUUCUUGGAGGAUUUCAGUAAAGUUGGAGAAAAGCAAGUUUCAUUGUAAAAUUUAUGUCAUUUGCUACUUGUAAUUUUCCUUGAAAGUUCGCCUUUAGUGCAUGUGCUAGUCAGUAUGCUUUUGCAAGAAUUUUGAUGCCUUACACGUUGCAGGAUGUUGACUUGCAUGAGAACUGUAGCUUGCUUUCUAGUACAUUUUCCAGAAGUAUGGUUCUCAUUUUGCAGUUGCAGUUUUUCAAAGAGAACCUCUUUUUGUUAAGGCAUAAAAUCAUCAUUUUGUUGAGCUGAUAUGAUCUUUCGUUGUGUUUCAGUUCGCUACUAGCCAAUAGGCUAUUUUAUGGAAAAUUUGGACUAAUUCGAGGGAAAAUUUCCAAGAACAAACUUACACAAAUUCUAUUGGAAAGUAUGUUUUAAUGGUACAGGUCCUUCAUUAUAUUAUUGUCUUCAGAAAAAUAUAUUGCAUCAUAAACUUGCUUCAAGGCGGAAUUAUUUAUAUUUCAGUUUUUAAAUUGAGGUCAGAUGUUGUUCUUCAUAAUGUAUAUCUGGGGACUUAAAGCAUUCUUUGUAUUGCAAGUCUUUUUCAAUGCUUUCUGGCAGGUGCUUCCCCAGAGAGCACUACAAAGUGCUAUUAGAACCCAGAAGCACUUUUCAAGAGUGUUUUAGCCCUCCCAUAAGCAUUUCCAAUCAGUACGCAUUGCUUGUUAUUUUGGUUUUUACUCUUUUUAUAGAAUUUAUAUACAUAUAUAUUAUAUUUUACCAUUCUAACUAAGAUUUGUCUUUGGAUGAUGGUUGAACUUUUUAUUUUGUGCUAGAGGUUGUGAAUUCAAGCUACAUGAUGUGCAAUUUUUUUAAAAUUCAUACUUACUCGACCUUUCAAACCUGAAUGGUGCUUGAACUCAGCCUGAAGCCUGAUGGGCUGAGUUCAAACCCUUUGGGCUAGGCUCAUUUUUGCUGGUCUGUCAAUGGUACUAUACCAUUUGAUUUAUGAUUUAGUAGGUUAAUCCCUUUGUUUAGUUGGUCUUCGUGGCAUAAAAUUCAGGAAUUUGUUUUCAGCAUUUGUUAAAACUUGUUUCUUGUUGCCGGUUCGCUCAUCCAAAGAAUGGUUUGAUAAUUUCACUGUAUUGACAUUUUUUGCUACAUCCUUCUUCACGUAUGAAUGUGACUGUUGAUUAUAACUGAAGACAAAUUUGUUAUUAUUAGUCAUGCUAGUGUGGUCGUGUUUUCCUUAACUGUAUCCCCUUGAUCUCUGCGUUUAACUGUGUCCUCGAUCUGUGUAACCUUGCUUGUAAUAUCAAUGAAUCUGUGAACACUUUCUCCUAAUGAUGAAAAUUUGGCUUUCUUAACUGUCCUCAUGCCCACAAGUGUGUGCAAACUUCAGGUAGUCUGAGCAAGGCCAGUACAUAUUAUACCAUGGUUCUUGACAGCAUUUUGUCUUCUCCUGUUCGGAAGUCAGCAUCAUUCAGAAAGCAAUUCUCACAAAAUGAGUUGGGUAGCUGGUCGACUCUAUUUCAGCGGCACCGCUUCCUGUUAACGGCCCUAGCUCUCCUGACUUUCCUCUGCACUGUUUAUCUUUACUUUGCUGUCACUUUAGGAGCCAGUCCAACAUGUUCUGGGUUGAGUGGAACUCAAAAAGCAUUGUGUCGUUUGGAGCAUGCAAAGACUUCAGUGGCCCAUGGAAAAUUGAAAAUUCUUUAGCAUGUAGAUGAUAAUGAUUUUCCGAAGUUUCUUUUUUCUUGGGUUCCUUUGAUUAGAGUGGAUUGCCAAUUUAAAUCGUACUACUGAAUUGUAGUGGGUUUUAUAUUUGUUCGUGAACUGAUUGAUUGGGUCAUAUAUACAUAAUAUUUGUAGUAUGGAAACACUGGUUUUACCAUAAUGAUUAUUUUUAUUCAAAGAAACUAAAGCAU
This 4159-nucleotide long non-coding RNA is filed under the name Prunus dulcis (almond). RNAcentral's name for it is "sRNA ncRNA". The record is from RNAcentral. Lineage: Eukaryota; Viridiplantae; Streptophyta; Magnoliopsida; Rosales; Rosaceae.